This 65-nucleotide transfer RNA is filed under the name Dipodomys ordii (Ord's kangaroo rat). It matches the Rfam family "tRNA". Rfam says of the family: Transfer RNA (tRNA) molecules are approximately 80 nucleotides in length. The record is from Rfam by way of RNAcentral. Lineage: Eukaryota; Metazoa; Chordata; Mammalia; Rodentia; Heteromyidae.
GGUGGCUCAGUGGUAGAGUGCUUGCCUCACAUGCAUGAGGUCCUGGGUUCGACUCCUAAGCACCA